UGAGAUUAGGCAAGAUUACCCGCCGAAUUUAAGCAUAUUAAUAAGCGGAGGAAAAGAAAACAACUGUGAUGCCCCUAGUAAUGGCG
RNAcentral lists this ribosomal RNA (86 nucleotides) under Tigriopus japonicus. Its description in RNAcentral is "partial 28S ribosomal RNA". It matches the Rfam family "Eukaryotic large subunit ribosomal RNA", at positions 1 to 91 of the family's 3401-position model. The record is from RNAcentral. Lineage: Eukaryota; Metazoa; Arthropoda; Copepoda; Harpacticoida; Harpacticidae.